This 2577-nucleotide long non-coding RNA is filed under the name Ananas comosus (pineapple). RNAcentral describes it as "long non-coding RNA (ACOM_LNC014040)". Lineage: Eukaryota; Viridiplantae; Streptophyta; Magnoliopsida; Poales; Bromeliaceae. The record is from RNAcentral.
CAAAUUUCAAUUUAAAUUAAUUUCAUAUUUAAAUUAAUAUUUAAAUUUUAAAUUUUAAAUUUUAAAAUUGAACUUAAAUUUUAAGUUUACUUUCAAAUUCAAAUUCAAAUUUUUAAUUCAAAUUUUAAAUUUUGAUUUGAAUUUUAAAUUAUGAACUUUAAAUACAAAAUAAACUUUAGAUAUAGAAUUUAAAUUUUAAAUUAAAAUAAUAAGCAUGCAAGUAAUUAAUAAUUUUUUUGAGAAUUGGAAUAAUUAUUGAACAUAAUAUAUACUAGUGAAAAGACCCGCGCUUCGCAGUGAGUAGAAACUAUAGAAGAUACCAAUAAAAAAUAAAAAGGUAUUCAUUAAUAAAAAAAAAAAAACAUCUUGGAUGGGGCGAUUGACACGUCGAAAUGAUAACUGUCACCUAUAACCUCUAUUAAUGGUGGAGCCCUAUGCCGCCGCAAUCGCAAGAGGCUACGUCACCGCCAUUGCCACCAACAUUACCGAGAACCUCAUCCUCAUCCUUGACUACGGAUUCCAGAACAUCACCCACCAUAUCCACCAACUCUUCUCCUCUUUCUUUCUUUGCAUCUUUAGAAACUCUUCCCUCUCCUUCUUCUCCAACAAAAAAAAUCACAAAAGAGAGAAAAAAGUGAUUAAAUGAAGCCGACCUCGACGCAGCCGUUUACGACGGUGAUGUGGAGUGUAGAGAGGAGGUCGUUGAUAGUAGUGUGGCGGAGGAGAUCAGGAUCGACACAGAGGGAGGAGUAGACGGCAUUAGCGCCCUCGACUCGGAUCACGCCGAAAAAGGCAUCAGAUCAAUCAGUCACCAUCCCAUCUUUUAGUGAAUCUAUACUGGAAAAAAAAAGAUAAUAAAGAAAAUGACAACAAAGAAAGUAGAAGAAGAACCACAACGUAUGGAAAAGAUACAUGGUCAUAUAGGAAAGAUAAACUGUCACAUAGGAAAUUAAAGAGAAAACGGUUAUAGGAAUAUAAGAGACUAGGGAGAGUAAACUUGAAGAUGGAGCCCACAUCCAACCUUGAAGGUAGGGUUGCCACAUGGAUUUUUUUGGGGAUUAAUAUAGAGUUAUGGAUUAUAGAUGACAGCCUACAUUACUGAGAUUUUUAUUAUUCUAAUAAUCUUCAAUGAGAAAACUAUAUGAACUAAAUGUAGGUAUUCAAAUUCAAAUUUUGUAUUCAAAUUUUAACCUUAAAUUUAUUUUUUAAUUUUUUAAAGCUAGUUCUGAAUUCAAAUUUAAAAUUUGAAUUUAAUUUUAUAUUUAAUUUAAUAUUUUAAUUUAAAAUUUAAAAUUUACAAUUUGAACUUAAACUUUAUGUUUAGUUUUAAAUUUAAUUUUUAUUAAAAAUUUAAAUUUCAAUUCGAAUUUUGAAUUACGGUCUUGAAAUUUAAAAUAAACUUUAGAUCUAGAGUUUAAAUUUGAAAUUAAAACAAUAAGCAUGUAAGUAAUUAAACUUUUUAAAAAUAGGGAUAAUUCUUGAAACUAGUAUAUAUUACAGCCUACAUUGCUAAGAUUUUUAUCAUCAUAAUAAUCUUUAGUAAGAAAACUAUAUGAAGUAAAUAUAAGAAUUAUACAAUUUCUACAAAUCUCAUGAGUGAGGCUGAUAUGUUUUUAGAAGUACAGAACUCUCCGUACUUCCAAAUCAUUCUCGAUUUGAAAAUUUUCAAGUUGACGAUUGGCACUAUUAAACUUGAUUUAGAAUAUCUGAAGUACCUAGAAAAAAAAUUCACGGUCUUUCAGUAUUAUUUAUCUAUUGAUUGAAGGAGCUCAAAAUUAAUACUUUACUAGUUGUGAUGAGCCGUUUGCAAAUUCAAUAGUGUAGAAAUAGCCAAAUCACAUAAAAAUUUGAUAGAAAUUUUUUUUUUACUAUAUAUAAAAUAAAAUCAAUAUUUUUGAUCAAAAUUUUAGUAUCAUAUUAUCACAUUUUGUUAGAUUUCUAUUUUCAUUAAUUUUGAGCCCUUUUGAUACUAGGUAAAUGAUAUUAAAAAAUUAUAAAAUUUAUUUUUGGGUACUUAAGAUAUUCUAGAUUAGGCUUAGUAGAGCCAAUCGUUGACUUAGAAAUACAUAGAAAAUGACUUGAAAGUAUGGAGAGCUUCGUAUUUCUAAAAGCAUACCAGCCUCACUACUCCUAAUUCAUUAUUACUAAUGAAAUUCCACUUAAUAUUUUGAUAUCUAGGAAUCGUAGACAAUGCGAUCCAAACAUGACCUAGCAAAUUUAGACAAUGUGAUCCAAAUGUGUGACACUAUGCUUCCCAGGGGUCAAUAAUCUUGUACUAUAUAUUCUUUCCCUACUAUAUUUAAUUCUCUUAUUCUCAUGAUUCUAUUUAAUACCUAAAAUAUUAUAGUCAAAUUUAAUAAACUCACAACCGCCCGAUAAUAUGAGAUUUGUCUCACUAGUCUUAUCAUUCAAAUCUUGAUUCAACCUGCUAUUCAUAGAUAUUGACUUAGCAUGUCAUUCAGAACUUGCUUAACCGAGACUCAUCUCACACUUUUGACAGAAAAUUAAUUUUAAUACUAAAUGUAAUGACACCGCUUACUUGCAAUAAUAACUCACUAUAUUCUAUAAGACUAUUGA